CGAACGCGCAUCUCUCUUUCUGGGGUCGCGGCCACGCGGUUAACGUUCGUUUUCGUGAACAUCGAGCGCGCGUUACGACCUAAGUGUUAACACGAAUUGUUGUUUCGUGAACGAUCCUGAGACGCGGACUGUGACUGGCGUGACACGGAUGACCGAUCUCGUCAGCGUGAAUUAGCCUCAUCCUUUCGGUGCCGCAAGCCGGCCAAGUUUCAACGUGGAAAGAUCGUCUCGCCCGAGCAUCUUCCGUUCCUGCCGAGAAUUCCUACACUCCCGGAAGGCUGGAUGCGCGGGGCGAUCUCCAAUAGCGUAUAAAGGAUCGAUACAUUCUGUAUUUGUGGCAAACGUUGGCGAUUUUAGAUUGGACGCAGUUAACUGCUCGGGGCGGCGAAGAGAACGAAACUUCCAGGAUAUUGAACUACGUAAAGGAAAGUGAAGCUUAACGGUGAGUACAAGAACGUUUGUCUUGCAGUCUGAGCAUGAAAUAAAAGGGAAUUCUGUAUACAGAACGAGUCAACAAUCGUGCAUUGGGAAACAAAAAUUUAAAAAGAUAAAAAAAAAGAAAAAAUUAGAUCAGC
This is a long non-coding RNA of Pogonomyrmex barbatus (red harvester ant), 575 nucleotides long. Lineage: Eukaryota; Metazoa; Arthropoda; Insecta; Hymenoptera; Formicidae. The record is from RefSeq and is a predicted model, not a curated record.